Molecule: microRNA, 23 nt
Filed under: Pristionchus pacificus
Lineage: Eukaryota; Metazoa; Nematoda; Chromadorea; Rhabditida; Neodiplogasteridae
Description: ppc-miR-8250a-3p
Source: miRBase by way of RNAcentral
AUCUCCAGUCAUAAUGGGGGGGA